UUUUGUGCAAACCAAUACAAUUGACAGUGACUCUAGUGUAUGUAAAAACACCUAGAUGUCCCCUUUAGCCUUAUGAGGCAAAUGACCUGAUGCUGUGCAAAAUGCUCUGUCUAAAAGCAAAUACGGCUCGUUUUGGAGACAUUUGGGACUUAAUUUUCAUAUAAUAGAGAAAUAAUUUUUCAAAUACAAAAAAUACACUUCCUGUAUGCAGUUUAGGUUAGGUUUAUUUUGAAAACACACGCAAUCCAGAUGUAAAUGUGGAAUGGUCCAAAUGCGUGCACAAGGUGAGAGGAUGUGCCGAAGCCAGGUACAACUUUGCUAAACUGCACACAGAUGGUGAGAACAAACCCAGUCUGCUGCUGUUCUUUACCGAACCCAAAUCUGAGGGUCCUGAUUGUAACAGUGGAGCACAGAGUGAACAGCAGGCUCCAGAGAUGGCAUCAGUGAAGCAGGAAGACUGCAGUCAAACACUGGGGCUGAAUGUCAACAUUAAAGAUGAAGUAAAGGAGGAAGAGAUUGAAACAUUUGUGUAUCAUGGGCCGUCUGGAGAGCUCAAAGAAGAGACGGAAGAACAGAAAGUCUUACUACUCAAAGGAGAAGGACCUGACUACGCUGAACUUAAGGUUGAAGUUGAAACGUCCAGAGAGCAACACCAUGAAGAAAGAAAAGCUAAGGGGUCUCACCACUGCCCACACUGUGAGAAGAGUUUCCCAUUCCCAUCAUAUCUUGAAAGACACCUGCGGAAACAUACUGGAGAGAAGCCUUAUUCCUGCUCUGUCUGUGGGAAGUGCUUCAGAACGUCAACUCAUUUAACCACUCACCGGGGAGUUCACACAGGGGAGAGACCUUACUCCUGCUCUGACUGUGGAAAGUGUUUCUCUCUUAUAAGUAACUUUAAACAACAUCAGCGAACACAUUCUGGAGAGAAGCCUUACUCCUGCUCUGAUUGUGGGGACAGUUUCUCUCAACAUGGUAACAUGCGCCGUCACCAGAAAAGACAUUCUGGAGAGAAGCCUUACUCCUGCUCUGAUUGUGGGAAGAGUUUUAUUACAACAUCUGAAUUAAUCAGUCACCAGAGAGUGCACACAGGAGAGAAGCCUUUCCACUGUUCUGUCUGUGGGCAGAAUUACUUUAGCCUGAGUAACUUAAUACGCCACCAGAGAAUACACACCUAGGACAGAAGCCAUAUUCCUGCUUGACUGUGAAAACAUAAUCUGAACUAGAGGUCUUCACGAAUCCACCUGUACCCGAAUACCCGAGAACCGAUCCGGGACAUAAGCGGAUCUGGAUCCAUAAAUCUAAAGAAUGUUACAGGUCUGGGUCAGACCUGAUUUGAUUGUCAUGGGUCUCGGGUGUGUGUAAUUUAACUGACUUGUCCGGAAGGGCCCGUACAGAUCUGAACUCAACUGCUGCAGUAGAGAGAGAGAGAGACAUGUUAUGAUUUAUGUUGCUGCUCCUUCUUUUCACGGGAGUGGAGCGUGCAGCUUUUUGUUGGCCAAUCAUAAGUCAUAAAAGCGGCAAUAGGCAACAGUCAUAGAGCCUCAAUGUGUGGCAAAAGGCACGAGAUAUCUAAUGAAUGGAAGAUAAACUUUUAAUUACAUUAUUUUAAUUACAUUAUUUUAACUAACUAUAGGCAACAAUGACCAGGAGCCAACAGGUAGGCUGCUACUUCAUUCAGAAUAUUAAGUUGUUAUUUGUAACUGUAGGAUGAGAAAGCGCAUAUACUUCAGCCUCAAAUGGGGUGGCAGAUAGCCUAGUGGUUAGAGCAUUGGGCCUGUAACCGAAAGGUUGCUAGAUCGAAUCCCCGAGCUGACAAGGUAAACAUCUGUCGUUCUGCCCCUGAACAAGGCAUUUCCUAGGCAUUUCCUAGAACAAGGCAGUUCCUAGGCCGUCAUCGUAAAUAAGAAUUUGUUCUUAACUGAUUUGCCUAGUUAAAUAAAGGUUAAAUUAAAAAAUUGCCUAGCAUAACUAGCUUCUCCCGCGUUUGAUGCAGUCAAGACGGGUACUACGUAAUCAUAUUUGAUGAUUAAUAACCUAGCUAUGGCAGCUAAUAUAGUGCAAGUCGGCAUGUUGGUUGGCUCUUGCUCCCCAUGACCCUCGCUCACAGUACGUCCCCUCCCCCCCCUCUAGAGCGGCACCUCUCUCCCUCCUCUCGUGCUCCUUUCAGCUCCGGUUAAUAAAGUAGCUUAAAACAUUUAUUUUCUGCUGCUUCUAUCAUUCUGAUCGGAUCAGACCGGGUCUAUACGGAAUGGGUCUAGUUGUCCUCGUGUCUAUUCGGAACGGGCCUCUAUAUUUCAAAAUUAGAUUUAUGCAUGUCGGGUCUGUGUGGGAUCGCCCCAGGUCCUUUUAGGAAUGGGUACAACUUUUUGGACCCUUGAAGACCUCUAAUCCGAACUAACUCUAUGUCAGAAAGUGCACACAGGGGAGAAAGCUUCCUGCUCUGACUGGAAUUCACUCCAAUGGGUUAAUAAUGAUAGUGUGUGUACACCGGUACACAACACAAGCAGAAUUCAUAGAGACUGAAUUCAUUCAGAAAAAGGUACUGCUUCUAGGUGAUUUGGAGGUGCGAUGGCGGCUCGUUGCUGAGCUACACCAAACCAUCGCAAAUAGCCAAAUAAAUUUCACAAAACAUGCUGCAAUUUAUUUAAUCUAAAUGUAGCAACUAUUUAUUAUUGUGCUUUCCACUGCAAACUGCCCACUGAGACUCUAAUCGACCAUGGUGAACCCACAUUCAGCGCUACGCUCUGGGAACCAGCAGAAUACUAUCUCCUCUGAAAUCAGAGAAUCGAUCGGUGACUUGAGCGAUGCUUUCAAAGAUAAAAUGAAAACAUUUAUGAACAUGCUACAAACCGAUUUCCGAAAAAAGUUGAGGAAAUGAAACUGAAUACUCAGUGGGAGUAAAACAACUCAGAUUGGACAUGGACACACCAGCUAGUCAAAACAAAUAAUGCCUCACAUAAGCAACAAUUGGGCCAAAUCUCCACUCAAACAACAAAGGUAUAGUCAGACCUAGCGCAAAACACCAAGACAGUGACUGAAUGCAAAGACGAAAUAGAGAAGCUGACACUCAAGCUAUCCGUUUAAGAGGUCAGGGCUAGGAGGCCAAACAGCAGACCCGUGAACCUGAAAAUUGGCACUGAAGGAAAUUGUGAUUUC
This is a non-coding RNA of Salmo salar (Atlantic salmon), 3156 nucleotides long. The record is from RefSeq and is a predicted model, not a curated record. Lineage: Eukaryota; Metazoa; Chordata; Actinopteri; Salmoniformes; Salmonidae.